This 480-nucleotide ribosomal RNA is filed under the name uncultured organism. Its description in RNAcentral is "partial 16S ribosomal RNA". It matches the Rfam family "Bacterial small subunit ribosomal RNA", at positions 330 to 801 of the family's 1533-position model. The record is from RNAcentral.
CGUACACUCCUACGGGAGGCAGCAGUGGGGAAUAUUGCACAAUGGGCGCAAGCCUGAUGCAGCCAUGCCGCGUGUAUGAAGAAGGCCUUCGGGUUGUAAAGUACUUUCAGCGGGGAGGAAGGCAAUACGGUUAAUAACCGUGUUGAUUGACGUUACCCGCAGAAGAAGCACCGGCUAACUCCGUGCCAGCAGCCGCGGUAAUACGGAGGGUGCAAGCGUUAAUCGGAAUUACUGGGCGUAAAGCGCACGCAGGCGGUCUGUCAAGUCGGAUGUGAAAUCCCCGGGCUCAACCUGGGAACUGCAUUCGAAACUGGCAGGCUUGAGUCUUGUAGAGGGGGGUAGAAUUCCAGGUGUAGCGGUGAAAUGCGUAGAGAUCUGGAGGAAUACCGGUGGCGAAGGCGGCCCCCUGGACAAAGACUGACGCUCAGGUGCGAAAGCGUGGGGAGCAAACAGGAUUAGAUACCCCAGUAGUCCCAUGAU